RNAcentral lists this ribosomal RNA (253 nucleotides) under uncultured bacterium. Its description in RNAcentral is "partial 16S ribosomal RNA". It matches the Rfam family "Bacterial small subunit ribosomal RNA", at positions 524 to 776 of the family's 1533-position model. The record is from RNAcentral.
UACGAAGGGGGCUAGCGUUGCUCGGAAUUACUGGGCGUAAAGGGCGCGUAGGCGGAUGUCUAAGUUGGGGGUGAAAUCCCGGGGCUCAACCUCGGAACAGCCUUCAAUACUGGAUAUCUUGAGUUCGGGAGAGGUGAGUGGAAUGCCGAGUGUAGAGGUGAAAUUCGUAGAUAUUCGCAAGAACACCAGUGGCGAAGGCGGCUCACUGGCCCGAUACUGACGCUGAGGCACGAAAGCGUGGGGAGCAAACAGG